Molecule: long non-coding RNA, 5105 nt
Filed under: Sus scrofa (pig)
Lineage: Eukaryota; Metazoa; Chordata; Mammalia; Artiodactyla; Suidae
Description: lncRNA (ENSSSCG00005038260.1)
Source: RNAcentral
GUUCGAUCCCUGCCCUUGCUCAGUGGGUUAACGAUCCGGCGUUGCCGUGAGCUGUGGUGUAGGUUGCAGACUCGGCUCGGAUCCUGCGUUGCUGUGGCUCUGGUGCAGGCCAGCAGCUACAGCUCCGAUUCGACCCCUAGCUUGGGAACCUCCAUGUGCCGCGGGAGCGGCCCAAGAAAUGGCAAAAAGACAAACAAACAAACAAAAAAAAAAAAAACAUGUGUCUUUCUACCACACUCUGGUCUCCCAGUGGCAAAAAACAGACUCCGACUGCCUGAUCUCAAGUCUGUGACGUGGUGACUACCCUUGAUUCGGUGAGAUUUCCUCGGGAGAACAAUUUGGCAGUUUCCAUGAUGACACUUGCUUAUGCUCGUGUAUGAAGCUCUGCUCCUCCACCUUCUUGGCUCUGAGUUAAGAAAUUUAGGUGGUUACUCAUAACUGCUAAACACAGUCCUGGAAAACAUAGUACAGAGCAGAAGGCAGCAGCAAAAGACCACGCGUUAUUCGCUUCAAUUAAAUGAAAUGUCAGGAGUUUCCAUUGUGGCUCAGCGGCAACAAACCCAACUAGUAUCCGUGAGGAUGCAGGUUCCAUCGCUGGCCUUGCUCAGUGGGUUAAGGAUCUGGCAUUGCCGUGAGCUGUGGGGUAGGUCACAGACACGGCUCGGAUCGCAUGUUGCUGUGGCUGUGGCGUAGGCCAGCAGCUGCAGCUCUGAUUCCACCCCCAGCCUGGGAAUCUCCAUAUGCGACGCAUGCAGCCCUAAAAAUCUUGCAUAAACAAAUACAUACAUACGUACAUACAUAAAAUGUUCGAAAUAGGCAAAUCUAUAGAGACCACCAAGUGUUGGUUGGUGCUUGCCUUCGGCUGGAGCGGUUCGGGGGCGGGUGGAAUGGAGAGUGGCUGCUGAUGGACAUGGUGCUUCUUUUGGAAGGCAAGGAAAAUGCCCUGAAAUUGAUUGUGGUCGUGGUGGCACAACUCUGAAUAUACCGAAAACCAUUGACUUGUAUACUUUCUGGGGAUGCGUUUUAUGGCGUGCGAAGUCCGUCUCAAUAAAGCUACUACUAAAACAUCAUAGGAAGGCUGGGCCCUAAGCCCUCGUUCCCCAGGUCACCUCCACUCAUGAAGGCAUGAGCGCCCCACCGUCGAGGGUGCAGGUGGGUAGCAUCGGGGCUCCGCUGCCUGUCCUUCUUCUCCCCUUCUCUUCCUUCCCUUCUCCCUGCGCUUCUUCUGCCUUUGUCUCCUGCUCUUGCUUUUUCCCUCUGUUUCCUUCGCUUGCCACUGAUCCCACCAGCCCGUGGUCUUUCCUUGACCCCCAGGAAGCUCAAAGGGGAGGGAACGAGAGAACAGUGAAAGUUAAUCGCAACUGUAACGAGGAGUGAUUUGUAUUAUUAUAAAUUAGUAUCGCUGUCCAGGACUUCACCUGCACGACGCCCACAUGCGGGGGGUGAUUAUCCACAUUUGAUGGCUAGAGAAACUGAGACUCAAGCAAGCAGAGGGACAUGCCCCGUUUGUCAGGGGCAAACCAGAAAGCAAACCCGGGUCUGUCUGGCCUCGAAGCCUAUUCUCCGAAGCAUGAAAAGACCUUAAAUAUGAGGCUGGGCUUGGUUAUUUAUUGAUGGAUUAUAAUAGAAGUCAUUUGAUGGGGUUCGAAACUGCAGUCGCUAAGAUCUCAUCUGUUGGUCUGAUAUUUACGGCCGUUUAUGGGUGAUGUCUCUGUGGCGCCUCCAUUCAUUAUGGUUUUCAUUAAGACGCGAAUCCUAUUUGGAAGUCUCUUUGUCAUUUUUAACUUCUCUGCUUAAUUUCCCAGCCCUAAUCCUUCUUCUCUACAAGCCGCGGGGGGACAGCUCCCCGUGGCUCUUUUUUUCUCAGAGUUGCGUGCAGGCAGGGGCGGGAGGGGCGAGGCAUGUGUGUUAUGAGUGUGUGUGACAUGAGUAUGUGUGUGAGCACGUGACGGGAGUGUGUGUGAAGUGUGUGUGCUGUCAGGGCGCGGGUGUGGAGGGUGAGUGGCUCCUAAGACUGUGUGUUUGUGUUCACGAGCGUGUUUGCCUAAGAGGAUGCAUUUGUGGCGUGAGGUGUGUGUGUCAGGGGGCUGCCAUUCACCGUAUCCUUUUUUUUGUUUUCAGAAGCACACAAAUUCUUGAAUUGAGGCCUAACCAUUUGCUUCCCGAGCACAGGGGCCGUGCUCCCCUCCCCGCCACCUGCCUGGCUCUCUCCCCUGAGACAAUCUUGGACUUGGAAGAGGGUCUUGAAUCCAGCCUCUCACUUGUUAUAGACCUGGAGCGCCUGCUUAGAACUCCCCAGUGGUAGACAUCUCCCUUCUUCCCUGCAUGGUUGGUUUCUAUAAAAGUCUUCUGUUGGGCUAUUCUUCCUUGAGAGAGGUCCAGAGUUGUAAGAAAAGAAAUCUAGGAGUUCCCUGGCAGCUCAGGGGGUUAAGGAUCCAGCCUUGUCACUGCUGUGGCUCAGGGUCCUGCUGUGACUCAGGUUCAAUCGCUGGCCUGGGAAUUUCCACAUGCUGCAAGUGUAGCUAAAAACAUAAAAACAGAAAUCUCAAGGGGACGUUAUUUUUUUUUAUUAAAGUAUAGUUGAUUUGCAAUGUUGUGCCCAUUUCAGCUGUAGAGCAACGUGACCCAGUCAUACACACAAACACACACACACACAUACACACACACUCUCCCUUUCUUAUGUGAUCUUCCAUCACGGCCAGUCCCAAGAGACAGCGUAGAGUUCCCUGUGCUGUACGUAGGACCUCGUUGCUUGUCCAUUCUCAGUGCAACCAUUUGCAUCCAUGAACCCCAAACUCCCCGCCCAUCCCGCUUCCUCCCCCUCCCCCUUGGCAAAACCACAAGUCUGUUUUCCACGUCUGUGAGUCUGCUUCUGUUUUGUAGAUAGGUUCAUUUUGGCCAUGUUUUAUUUUUUAUUUUUACCAUAUUUUAGAUUCCAUAUAUAAAUGAUAUAAGGCAUUUAUCUUUCUCUGUCUUACUUCACCUAGUAUGAGAAUCUCUAGUUGCAUCUGCAUUGCUGAAAAUGGCAUUAUUUUGUUCUUUUUAUGGCAGAGUAGUAUUCCACCGUGUGUAUGUACCACAUUUUCUUAAUCCAUUCAUCUGUCAAUGGACGUUUAGAAUGUUUCCAUGUCUUGGCUACUGUGAGCAGUGCUGCAGUGAACAUAGGGGUGCACGUGUCUUUUUGAAUAGUAGUUUUGUGCUAACAGAUGCCAAGGAGUGGGGUUGCUGGAUCACAUAGUAGGUCUAUAUUUAGUUUUCCGAGGAACCUCUAUACUAUUUUGCAUAGUGGUUGUGCCAAUUUACAUUCGCAGCCACAGUGUAGGAGGUUGUAAAGGGGACAUCCUUUGUGGUGCCUUUGGCUACCCCCAGCGCACACCCCAAAGCUCAUUCCCUCUGCUUUGCCUCAUGAUGCUUUCCUGCCCAGGUGACUACACCCUCCUCUUCUUCCUGAAGUCCCACCUCCUCUAGGAGCCUUCUCUGCCCCUCAGCCCACACUUGACUCCCACCUUCUCUGGGUCCCCGUAGGGCUUAUAAGAGGCACAGCUUUUACCACCUAAAAAUGGUCUGUCUCGGAGUGACUUGGGUAAAACUCUGGUCGACCCAAACUACACAUGUCGGCUUCCCAAUUCCCUAGAGAGUUUGGGCAUCAGGGUUGCCAGAUACGGUGGUUGAGGUUGUGUACUGCCAAAGGCAUGUGGCUGAGGGCCAAACUGAGUUCCCACUUACCUUACCCAGCCAUGCAGCUGGAGGGUGUGCCUUUUCCAAAUUGCACGGAAGGACCGUGUGGGCUAGAGGUGGCCAGGGAAUGGAAGCCUCAGAGGGUUCAAUCCUGUUGUCUCCAGGCCUCUCAGCCAGAUGAACGCUUGAUGAGGGACCCAGAGAAGGUGGCCUCCACUCCCAGUGCCUUGGCAGAGUCGGCCUGGCGCCCACAGCCCUCCUUCCCAGGGCCUCACCCCUCUGAGUAAUCUCAUUGCACUCUGCUCAUCACUUAGCUCCACAGGCCCUCCUCCGGCUGCAGUUUAAUUUUCACUUCUCAGUAUCUGCCCUGAAGUAUCCUUAAUCUCCCCCCCCAAACCCCCACCCCCUGCGUCUUUGUUCUGUCCUUCUGGCUAGUUAGCAAGCUCUAGGAAGGCUUUGGUUUCCUUUGUUUUCAGCCACCUCCCUGUGACAUCUACCCAGGACUCAGCCCCGGUGGGAGGGCCACAUCCGUGCUGUUGUCACACUGAGCCAUCAGCUGAAGGAGCUGAGAGGCCAAAGUUCUGUGCUCAGAGCUGUGAGACAAGGCGCCGACCUCUCUCCCCAAACACCAGCUCAGCCAGGCUUCCUUUGCACUCCACUCCUAGUUACCUGCCAAGUGUCCCUAAGGAUUCGGGAUUUCUGGGGAGACUCAGCCCAUCCCAUGGUCUCUGUUGGGUGACACCCAGUGCUGGACAAGGGAAUGGCGAAGGGGCCCCCAGAUCCUUCCUGACGUUAACCUUUGGGUACUGCCGCGUGAACCCUCGAUUCAGCUUCUGAGGUGCUUAGCAGGGACUGAAGCUGUGCCCUCUGGGGGCGGGCUUGGCUUGGAUGGAGGCAGAGCAUCCCAGGAGGGGCCUUUAGCUGCGUCUUCCAUGCAGCUUGCUCGUGCCCCUGCAGAGCAAUGCAAGAGGUGCGUCUAGCCUGCAGCAGUGGGGAAAGCAUUUGUCGCCUUUCCUCCCUCAAGACCUCCAACCCUGGGCCCCUGGCUGACCCCCUCCCCCUCCAUCUCCUUUCAGCCUCAGGACCCCCUCAACACGCUCUCGCACUUGGCAGUAAAGUCUUCAGGCAGUCACUAAAUAGCAGUGUUGAUGCUCCAGCCCCGCACGCCCUGAAAUGAUAAUGCAUCACCCGUGGUGCGCAUCCAGACGGAGCCAGAUUACGCUCAGGUGGUUAAAAGUCCAGGUCUAAUUAGAGUUCCAGGGAAUCAAGCCAUUGUAUUAUUAAUGAUUCUCCAGCAAUGUUCUGAUUAAAACAGUAAUUUUAAUAAGCACAGCUCGAUGCUAAGUGUUCACUGAGCACCUAAUUACAUCAGUUAUAACUCCAAAAUUAUUUAAAAUUCCCCUUUUUUUCCACCAGACCCGGCAUGC